GGCAAGUUCGAGUGAACCAGAGUGAGGCCAGGGACUUAAUCCUCACCGAUGACAGAGAGAUGGACAGCAAUUGAAGGAGACCCCGUACUCUACCCUUCCUCCCCGACCCAGCAUCAGUGUCUGCCUAGAGGAAGGAGGAGACAUGCCUUCUCUCCAUUUCCAGGCUCUGUGAAAUAUGUUGCAAGGCCUAUCUGUCUGCAACAGGACAGUCCGAGCAUUGCUUGCCAUUCAGUGCUCAUGCAAAGAAAGUACAAAGACUGAGGAGAGUCAAGGUUGACAUCAGAGUCAAGUGACAAUAUGAUGAUCUCAGAGGAGCUCCUUUGCAGUUUAUGGAGGACCCUGAGCUCAUGUCAGGAGACAUCGACAUUUUAAGAGUUGUUUGUCAGUUCCUGAAGGUACAAUAAAAUUUUUUUGCAGAGAGGUAAAAGCA
Molecule: long non-coding RNA, 430 nt
Organism: Bos indicus x Bos taurus (hybrid cattle)
Lineage: Eukaryota; Metazoa; Chordata; Mammalia; Artiodactyla; Bovidae
Source: Ensembl